AAUACACACAGAAGGUGUCUUAGUCCGUUCUGGGUGCUAUAACAAAAUAACAGACUGGGCAAUUUAUAAGUAACAGAAACUUAUUUUUUACAGUUUGAAGGCUGGGAUGAUCAAGGUGCCAGAAAAUUGAGAAUCUAGUGAGGGCUUGCUCUCUGCUUCAAAGAUGACACCUUCUGGCUGUAUCCUGUGGCAGAAGGGGACAAAGAAGCUCCCUCGGGCCACUUCCUUACAAGCUAUUGAGGCACUCCAGAGUGACGGCAUGUGAUCCCCCUGACACAAGAAACAGGCCCAGAUAACACACCGUUCAGACCGACAGCAGUUCUGGUUAUGCUGCAGUACAUCAGAAAAGUGCUCUUAUCCAUCCACAGUUCUUAUCACAGUUACUUAUGCAUAUAUUCAUUUUUUAUAUAAAAGAAUCUUGAAUCGGUCACUUAAAUAUUGAAUCUCAAUAAUAAAAAAUACUAAAAGUAUA
This 472-nucleotide long non-coding RNA is filed under the name Homo sapiens (human). Its description in RNAcentral is "HSALNT0359022". The record is from RNAcentral. Lineage: Eukaryota; Metazoa; Chordata; Mammalia; Primates; Hominidae.